RNAcentral lists this unclassified non-coding RNA (599 nucleotides) under Parengyodontium album. RNAcentral's name for it is "sequence contains 18S rRNA gene, ITS1, 5.8S rRNA gene, ITS2, 28S rRNA gene". The stretch from base 226 to 379 matches the Rfam family "5.8S ribosomal RNA". The record is from RNAcentral. Lineage: Eukaryota; Fungi; Ascomycota; Sordariomycetes; Hypocreales; Cordycipitaceae.
UCGUAACAAGGUCUCCGUUGGUGAACCAGCGGAGGGAUCAUUACCGAGUUUACAACUCCCAAACCCAUGUGAACAUACCUUUACGUUGCUUCGGCGGAGCCGCCCCGGCGCCCGGAACCUCUUCGGUUUCGCGGCCCGGAACCAGGCGCCCGCCGGAGGCCACAAACUCUUUUGUUUUUACAGUUUCUUCUGAGUGUGCCGCAAGGCAAAAUACAAAUGAAUCAAAACUUUCAACAACGGAUCUCUUGGUUCUGGCAUCGAUGAAGAACGCAGCGAAAUGCGAUAAGUAAUGUGAAUUGCAGAAUUCAGUGAAUCAUCGAAUCUUUGAACGCACAUUGCGCCCGCCAGAAUUCUGGCGGGCAUGCCUGUUCGAGCGUCAUUUCAACCCUCGAGCUCCCCUCUUUUUGGGAGAGCCCGGCGUUGGGGACCCGGCGCUAACACCGCCGGCCCCGAAAUGGAGUGGCGGCCCGUCCGCGGCGACCUCUGCGUAGUAAUAUCCACUCGCACCGGGACCCGGGCGCGGCCACGCCGUUAAACACCCCACCUUCCGAAUGUUGACCUCGAAUCAGGUAGGAAUACCCGCUGAACCUAAGCAUAUC